Molecule: long non-coding RNA, 1213 nt
Filed under: Nicotiana benthamiana
Lineage: Eukaryota; Viridiplantae; Streptophyta; Magnoliopsida; Solanales; Solanaceae
Description: long non-coding RNA (NBEN_LNC008618)
Source: RNAcentral
UUGGAGCAUUUAAAACUUCUAAAUCAAACCUUGAAAUAAUACCUUAAAAGAUAAAAUUAUGAAAUUUUUUAAGAAAUAUUUAUAAAUUACAUUACAAUAAGUAUAUUUAUAUAUUAAAUAUAUCUAAAAUUGCUAUAUAUGUAAUGUCGGAUUGUUUGGUUUCGGUUUGACUUUAUUUAGUUAAAACCAAACCAAAUUAAUUAUGGUCGGGUUUUUUUUCCCAACACCAAACCAAGUCAAACCAAAUCAUAGUCGGGUUAUUUCUCGAUUUAACUCAGAUUAUCGGGUUAGUGCAAUUUAUCGGUUUUUUUUGUACGUGGCUAACCCUUGCAACUAACAGUUACUCCACAUAAGCGCAAAGCGUAUUAAGAAAAAUACUUUUUGGCUGAAUUGGAUCUCCACGUGAGAUAAUUAUCUUCUCCAACCUAAAGAGAACCAUGGCCAAAAACCUAAAAGUUUGCACCAGGAAGAAAACCAUCUAUAACAACAAAGAGUUAAAUCUACCUUUUCACUACCUGGAUAUUCAUUGAAACUGUCAAAAUUCUAAUAAUCCAAAAGGUGACUUUAAGUUAGAAAUUCAUGUGAAGUUCAAAUUAAAUCGUGAAAUGCGUAUCUAAUUAAUUCUUUAUCUGCAAAACUAAAACAUAAAGUAUCAAACAACAAGAUGACCAUUUAACAGACCAAAUUCAAUAUGUAGGUAUAGAAGAAAAACAAAGAAAUAAAACCCACAACUAUAAGAUAGCUCAACCAUUGAAAAAAGGGGACCUUUCGUCAUCAAUAGGCCACAGAAUAACAAAUGAGCCACCCUCCAAACCCAUUUUCAAAAUCGUAAAUUUCUUCCUUAGAAAAGCUUCAGAUCUAGCUAGCAAUAUCGCCCUCAGAAUAAACUCUGAUUGGAGAACCUUUAGAUAUGGCAGACUAGGCUUUUCUAGCGCGAUCAUUUUUUUCGGCUAGGUUACUUGCCCUUUUACUGAUAUAAAAAUCAAGUUGUUCAUUGAAAUACUCGUAGUAAAACAGCGAUCAAUUUACCGCGAAAAGCAGCUCCAAUGGGAGCAAAUGUUGGUGGCUAAAUUUUUACUUUUAUCUCAUCUUCUCUUCCUCUGCUUCUAUAUAAUGGGCUGGAAUAACCGGUAAGGAGAAGAAGAUGGAGGUCUACUAGUUGCAGAUCUUCUUCUACACGAUGGUUGAGUCAAUUGUUUUCAAGGAAAAAGGC